CCUACGGGAGGCAGCAGUGAGGAAUAUUGGUCAAUGGACGCAAGUCUGAACCAGCCAUUCCGCGUGCAGGAAGACGGCACUAUGAGUUGUAAACUGCUUUUGUACGAGGGUAAACGCAGAUACGCGUAUCUGUCUGAAAGUAUCGUACGAAUAAGGAUCGGCUAACUCCGUGCCAGCAGCCGCGGUAAUACGGAGGAUUCAAGCGUUAUCCGGAUUUAGUGGGUUUAAAGGGUGCGUAGGCGGUCGGAUAAGUUAGAGGUGAAAUCCCGAGGCUCAACUUCGGAAUUGCCUCUGAUACUGUUCGGCUAGAGAGUAGUUGCGGUAGGCGGAAUGUAUGGUGUAGCGGUGAAAUGCUUAGAGAUCAUACAGAACACCGAUUGCGAAGGCAGCUUACCAAGCUACUUCUGACGUUGAGGCACGAAAGCGUGGGGAGCAAACAGGAUUAGAUACCCGGGUAGUC
RNAcentral lists this ribosomal RNA (460 nucleotides) under uncultured bacterium. RNAcentral describes it as "partial 16S ribosomal RNA". It matches the Rfam family "Bacterial small subunit ribosomal RNA", at positions 338 to 795 of the family's 1533-position model. The record is from RNAcentral.